UAGUCCACGCCGUAAACGAUGAAUGCUAGCUGUCGGGGCCUUAGGCUUCGGUGCGGCCGCUAACGGCGAUUAAGCGAUCCCGCCUGGGGAGUACGGUCGCAAGAUUAAAACUCAAAGGAAUUGACGGGGACCCGCACAAGCGGUGGAGCAUGUGGUUUAAUUCGAGGCAACGCGAAGAACCUUACCAGCCCUUGACAUACCUCUCGCGGAUUUCAGAGAUGAUUUCCUUCAGCUUGGCUGGAGAGUGUGCAGGUGCUGCACGGCUGUCGUCAGCUCGUGUCGUGAGAUGUUGGGUUAAGUCCCGCAACGAGCGCAACCCUCGUCCUUAGUUGCUAACAUUUAGUUGAGAACUCUAAGGAAACUGCCGGUGAUAAACCGGAGGAAGGUGGGGAUGACGUCAAGUCUUCAUGGCCCUUAUGGGCUGGGCUACACACGUGCUACAAUGGCGAUGACAAAGGGCAGCGACCUCGCGAGAGGAAGCUAAUCUCUAAAAGUCGUCUCAGUUCGG
Molecule: ribosomal RNA, 508 nt
Filed under: uncultured bacterium
Lineage: Bacteria
Description: bacterial SSU rRNA
Rfam family: Bacterial small subunit ribosomal RNA
Source: RNAcentral